AGUGGUUUUCAACAGUUCAACAGUUCUUUAUUAACAUUGUGAAAUGUUUAGGACCACUUG
This 60-nucleotide microRNA precursor is filed under the name Callorhinchus milii (elephant shark). Its description in RNAcentral is "Cmi-Mir-203-P6-v1_pre stem-loop". It matches the Rfam family "mir-203 microRNA precursor family", at positions 14 to 73 of the family's 80-position model. The record is from RNAcentral. Lineage: Eukaryota; Metazoa; Chordata; Chondrichthyes; Chimaeriformes; Callorhinchidae.